GGAUUAGAUACCCUGGUAGUCCACGCUGUAAACGAUGAUUACUCGUUUUUGGUACAUAGUAUCAGAGACCAAGCGAAAGUGAUAAGUAAUCCACCUGGGGAGUACGUUCGCAAGAAUGAAACUCAAAGGAAUUGACGGGGGCCCGCACAAGCGGUGGAGCAUGUGGUUUAAUUCGAUGAUACGCGAGGAACCUUACCAAGGCUUAAAUGCAUAAUGACAGGGAUGGAAACAUCCUUUUCUUCGGACAGAAUGCAAGGUGCUGCAUGGCUGUCGUCAGCUCGUGCCG
Molecule: ribosomal RNA, 286 nt
Filed under: uncultured bacterium
Lineage: Bacteria
Description: partial 16S ribosomal RNA
Rfam family: Bacterial small subunit ribosomal RNA
Source: RNAcentral